Molecule: long non-coding RNA, 1367 nt
Organism: Dermacentor silvarum
Lineage: Eukaryota; Metazoa; Arthropoda; Arachnida; Ixodida; Ixodidae
Exons: 3
Source: RefSeq, a predicted model, not a curated record
AACAAGUUUUGCAAUGCACACGAACUGGCUCAGUUGUGAAUGUCACAAAUGCUCCCCUAACGAGGAUCAAAUCAAUGAAAGGAUGGCCUUGAUAAAUAAUAUUCAUGAGGCGAAGAGGAAGUACCCAUACAUGAUGAGCUUUGAGAGGUGACUUUGCAAGACUGACUAAGAUUGACCCAUCACCUUGUAUUGCAAAAGGGAUCAACAAAAUUGUGAAAAUGGCAGAAAUGAAACACAUCCCUUGCGAAGCAAGUGUAAUGGCAUCACUUCAAAAGGCUCGUGAGAUGUCACCGGAGAGGCUGCGAACACGACGACCCGAGCGUUCCUGCAACCUCUUGCAUCAUAUUUUCUGGAGAAGACGUUGAAGAGGCUGACCUCCACAUCAAGGUGGACCGCGAGAUGUUUGCAGUGAAAAAUGGGGAGGAGGGGCUGGUGGCUGUUUUAUCUGCUUACUGGCUCUUCAAUAUCCAGUACGACCGCAAGCUGUCCAACACUCUUCUCGUGUUGGAGCGCCUUUUCCUUGGGCUCACAUUGAGUACCCCUAGAGUAGUGGCUACAAAGUUCUUGAACAAUGUUGCCAAAUGUGUGCCAUGUUUAAUGUGCUGAAGCUGUGCACUGUUACCUCAUCAUGAGUUUAGCUGUAAUUUUCAGAUGCAAGUUUUGUUUUGUCUAACCAUUUCUGCAAUACAUAUGAAGGAAGCCAACAGUCACCGAUAACAAGGCAAGCUUAUGGCAACGCUAUUCGUUUUUUUUAUUUGCAGUGUUAGUAGUUGGAAAUUAUUAGCUUAAUUAUUUUCAGAUGUGGUUAGUUAGGAUCCCACUGGCAGCAUGUGGUUUUCUGCUUUCUGAUCAUUUACCUGUCAGCCAUAAAAUGAUUACACUAACAAUUUUCUAUUGUCAGCACCACAAAUUGUUAAACUUAGAAGCAUUCUCCAUGUGGGGCGUUCCUUGGUCUCGGUCACUGUUGGCAUUUUUCAUAUAUGCAUUACAGAAAGGGUUAAACUAUUCAACACUUUCUUAUCUAAAUGUUACAGGUAAACUGUCUUUUGUAUUACAUCAUUAGCUCUUUUUAACUUUCAAUAACUAAGCAAGAUUCUAGUCGUAAAAAAAAAUAAAAGCUCUAGAAGGUUGAUACGUACUUCUCGCUUAUUACGUAGUUACGAAAGCUGAUCUCAUAUACUGUUGUGGUAGGUCAGCGGAGUAUACACGAUGCUGCGGAUCAUUUCCCAUAUGCAAAGUUAGCAACUGUUCUUUUUGAAGUUGAAUGCUGUAUUAAAAUAGGUCAGGUGAUAUGUAUUUGUGUUGCGUUAUUUUACUGACGUUCUUAAUAAAUUUACUUUGAUACCAAAACUAUUCCGCAAUCUUAU